This 202-nucleotide unclassified non-coding RNA is filed under the name uncultured fungus. Its description in RNAcentral is "sequence contains ITS1". The record is from RNAcentral. Lineage: Eukaryota; Fungi.
GUACAUUAGUGCUUGCGCACGACAAUAUAUUUCAUUACAUUCGAGUUUGUAUGUAAAAUCCUCUGCCCGCCGAAGCUAGCAAGAGGCCAAAGGUUCACAGGGGUAUUGGAAUGAAAGCCACCGACGUGCACUUGCAGGAGCCAGCACAGAAGGCAACAGUUUACAAUCAAUAAUGAUCCUUCCGCAGGUUCACCUACGGAAA